AAUCAGUUUAAACGGUGCUAGUGUGAGGCCAGUCACACAAACUGGCGAGUGCUAAUUAAAAUAUAUUGUGUUAAUAAUACAAACACCAGGCUCACGCAGAGGAAACAACACGGAUGCGCGAUUUUAAAUGCAAUAUUAUAAAUAUUUAACAAUGCAGCCGUGCAGCUAAAGCGGAUUAUUGGCCACCCACGCGUGGAAAUUCAGCGGCAGAGCAAACAAAAGCCUGCCUGGGCAUCGCAUCAACUUGAGGAAAUACAGAUGGCCACGCCCGCCGCACCGCCCACCGAUGAUAAUUGAAUAGGACCAUUAAUUGCACUGUGGUUUGUUGGUUCUCGCCACACCCACACACACGCUCCAC
RNAcentral lists this small RNA (358 nucleotides) under Drosophila erecta. RNAcentral's name for it is "GG27273". The record is from RNAcentral. Lineage: Eukaryota; Metazoa; Arthropoda; Insecta; Diptera; Drosophilidae.